RNAcentral lists this long non-coding RNA (565 nucleotides) under Pan troglodytes (chimpanzee). RNAcentral describes it as "long non-coding RNA NONPTRT014866". The record is from RNAcentral. Lineage: Eukaryota; Metazoa; Chordata; Mammalia; Primates; Hominidae.
GGUGGAUAGGGGCAGGUCUGCUCAUUCACUGCUGCCUUCCCCGCAUCUGGUACCGUGCACACAGAAUAAGCCUAGCAGAAUGCCUGUGGAUGGACUGACCAAUGAAAGUAAUGAGGUGCUGGGACCCGAAGGAAGUGGGGGCGGCUAAAGAGUUGACAGAUUCUGAAUCUACCUAGCCGUGUGACCUUGGCCAAGGGCCAGGCGGGUUCAGGCACGUUCCUGGCGGAAGGUGCUCUGAUGCUGUGGAAGACAGUUUCUUCAUGGAUUCCAACUGCUUGAUUUGUGGGAAUGACUCAACCAUGCCUGUUCUCCCCCACCUUUGAUGAGGCAUCUGACACUGAGUUAAUUCAUUUGCAUGGUGUAGACUACAGUAAAUCCAGUGUUGGGACACUGUGUCAUCUUCUUUCUGAUUAUGAUGGUAACAAACGCUUGCCAUAGGAGACUGGAAAAAUCUAUCCUAUAGGAAUAUUGGAAAAUCUAUCCUGUAGGAAGAAAGAAAAAACUCACCUAAACUUGUACCAUACACUGUCAAAUCUGGGCACUUUUCCUUCUUUUUGUCUUUUUC